UAAUGAUUUUUCUAAACUUGAUUUUGAUUUUUUGAUUUACAAACAUUUAAAACGAUUUUGAAUAAAACUUUAAAUUCGACGAUAAGUAAAAGCCUAGGUAAGAUUGGUAUAUUUUGAAAAUGUCUGGAUUUGUUACAUUAUAAUUUCUCCAGGUUUGACUCUUUUGAAUUUUGUUUAAGGAACGCAUGUAAAAUGAUUUAGACAAACAACCAGUAAGAUCUAGUUUGUUCUAUAAAAGUAAUUUAAACUGGACUGUUUAAUUCACAUUGUUAUUCAUUUUUGAUGGUAAAUGUAAGCUUUACAACUACAUUUUUAAGUUUUUGUUAUUGUUUUGUUUCGUUUGUUUAAUCCUAUUUUUACAAGAUUGGUUUAAGAAAAGGUCUGCAUUUGUUUGAUAUUCUGGCAAAACGUUACUUUGGAAACAUGUCUUUUGAAGCGGGUGAUUACAAGGUUUUGCUGUUUUCCAUCGGGUAGGAACAAUAGUUUAACAUAAUAGAAACGUAAAUUGAAGGGAUCACAUCCACCAUUUGAUGAACAGAACUGGACAAAGUAGGAGAUAAGGUUUCAAGUGAUGUGUUGCUCAUGGUUUUACACGCGGACUGCCCUGGAGUUUCGAACUUUGGACUCUGUCACACAAGCUGUUGUCAUGCGAGGCGGGGGUGGGGCUGCUUGGAGAAGCGGCUUCACACUUAUUUCGAAGAUAGCAGCCACAGAGUCACGAGCGGUGGAGGAUUCACUCUGACACGGGUUUGCAGCCAUUUUCCUGGUGCCCUGUGGGUGUGGUCUCAUUCAAAGUCUGCGUUCUUUGAUAAAAAGGAUUAAAAUAAUUUCCCGGAUGGAAAAUAACAAAGCAAAUUUAUUUUUUAGGUGAAACCAUCGUUUGAUUAUACUGACAUUAAUGAAGAUGAUAAUAAAGAAUGUUGUAAUGGUGUUUCUGAUGCUAAUGAAAUUCAUGUUGAAAACAAAAUGUCUGUUUAAUAACCUGUGACAGGUCAUUUCACGAGAUUUAGUUUCCUCACGAGGAGAUUUCAUUUUCUCCUUGACAUCUCUCUGUAAUAUUGACCUAAUAAUCCCAUUUUCAGUGAGCAACGGAUGCUCAGGUGGAAGCCUGAGGUUUCCGACCGAAGAAGAUCAAGCUGCAAGAGGAUCAUCAUAAACUUUUAUUGCGUGUUUUUUCGUUCGUUGUGAACUCUGGAAAGGACUUUCGUUUUUUUUUUUUUUUUUGCGCGCAUUUUUUGAACAAUUCCUGACGAAGACUUCAUAUUUUUUUUGAGAGACUGUUCAUGGACAUUUAAAAAAAAAAAAAAAAAACAGAAAAAGACGAGCAACAGAUUGUAAUUUUGUGUGUUUCUCAUUUGACAGAUUGUAAUUUUGUGGUGAAUGUUGUCCUUUAAGUUGCAGACAUUUCUUACUAAUUUUUCUAUGUAUGUUCCUGUUUUAUUUUUUUCAUUUUAUACUUUGGGUUUUGUUUGUCCUGUGUUUUUGGUUCUAUUGUGAUAAUUUUGUUUUAUGAUUUUAUUUUUGGGAGGUUAAGUAUUUCUUACCCUUGGGUUUUGUUUAAAAAGGGGGACUGGAUAUAAUUAGGGUACGUCACUCUUUUGGUUUUCAUUUUUUGGUUUUUUUCGUUUUUCUUUUAGUUUAAUACACAGUUUUUGGCUCUGUAUUAGAAGGCUUAAUCAAUUUUAGUGAGGUCUGUUUUUCAGACCUCAAAAGGGGGACUGUUAAAGAAAAAUAAUUAUUGUUUGGUGCUUAAUACAGCUAAUCCACGACAUGUGUAAAGGUAUAGCCAACACUUUAAUUUGGAAUAGUUUCUGUUGAGCAGUUGGGAAUGCAGCAGACAAGGCAGGGCCUUUUUUCCUCCCCCGCUGACAGACACAAAGCUAUAAAAUUUACACUCUGAUAGGAGUUACAGACUCUUUGGCGCCUCUCCCUCGUACCUGGCGCGGCCCAAGACGAAGUCGUCCGCCCUUUCACUUAGAUAAAAGCCAGACAUCGGAGCUGAGAUGGGGGAAGUCCCAGGAUCUCUGGGUGUUGAGGGAGUUUCUGAUUGGUCAAAGAACGGAACGCCUUGGCUGCAUAUAUUAAAUAGGGAAACACCUUUUUACUUUAAGAUUCCGUGUUAAGAAAAAACGAGAGAAAGUUUUUUCAUCUUUGUCUGCACGUGGGCGCCUUUGUCUGUCUUUAUGUUCGUUUGUCUUCCCUUGUGUGUCUUAUUUUUAUGAGAAAAUGCAUAUCUCUGUUCCUCUGCAGCUUUGUUGUUGAUUCCUUUGUAUGAGAUUAAACUCUGUGAUCUGUGACGUCAA
Long non-coding RNA from Xiphophorus maculatus (southern platyfish), 2303 nucleotides. RefSeq lists it as uncharacterized. The transcript has 2 exons. The record is from RefSeq and is a predicted model, not a curated record. NCBI's taxonomy places the organism in Eukaryota, Metazoa, Chordata, Actinopteri, Cyprinodontiformes, Poeciliidae.